AACGAACGCUGGCGGCAUGCCUAACACAUGCAAGUCGAACGAGACCUUCGGGUCUAGUGGCGCACGGGGGCGUAACGCGGGGGAACCUGCCCUUAGGUUAGGAAUAACUCCCCGAAAGGGGUGCUAAUACCGGAUAAUGUCUUCGGACCAAAGAUUUAUCGCCUUUGGAUGGGCCCGCGUUGGAUUAGCUAGUUGGUAGUGUAAAAGCCUACCAAGGCGACGAUCCAUAGCUGGUCUGAGAGGAAGAUCAGCAACGCUGGGACUGAGACACGGCCCAGACUCCGACGGGAGGCAGCAGUGGAGAAUAUUGGACGAUGGGCGAAAGCCUGAUCCAGCAAUGCCGCGUAAGUGAUGAAGGCCUUAGGGUUGUAAAGCUCUUUUACCCGGGAUGAUAAUGACAGUACCGGGAGAAUAAGCUCCGGCUAACUCCGUG
RNAcentral lists this ribosomal RNA (433 nucleotides) under uncultured bacterium. Its description in RNAcentral is "partial 16S ribosomal RNA". It matches the Rfam family "Bacterial small subunit ribosomal RNA", at positions 29 to 507 of the family's 1533-position model. The record is from RNAcentral.